This 283-nucleotide ribosomal RNA is filed under the name uncultured bacterium. RNAcentral describes it as "partial 16S ribosomal RNA". It matches the Rfam family "Bacterial small subunit ribosomal RNA", at positions 9 to 297 of the family's 1533-position model. The record is from RNAcentral.
GAGUUUGAUCAUGGCUCAGGAUGAACGCUGGCGGCGUGCCUAAUACAUGCAAGUCGAACGGAGACAGUAGCAAUAUUGUCUUAGUGGCGAACGGGUGAGUAACGCGUUGGCAACCUGCCCCGAAGAGUGGGAUAACGGUCCGAAAGGGCCACUAAUACCGCAUGUGAUCCCGAGGAACAGAUACUUGGGAUGAAAGGAGCAAUUCGCUUCGGGAGGGGCCUGCGUCCAUCAGCUAGUUGGUAAGUAACGGCUUACCAAGGCGAUGACGGGUAGGGACCUGAGA